RNAcentral lists this ribosomal RNA (198 nucleotides) under Triticum aestivum (bread wheat). Its description in RNAcentral is "partial small subunit ribosomal RNA". The record is from RNAcentral. Lineage: Eukaryota; Viridiplantae; Streptophyta; Magnoliopsida; Poales; Poaceae.
AGGUAUAAAAGCAAAAGAAAAGGAAAAAACCUUCAGAAAUAGUUGCCCGGUUCUUGGAUUGAAAAUAAAGAUAGCACCGUUGAUGGGUUUGGUGGUCAGGUUACCCUCGAAAGUUUUGUGAAUGGUAACUCGGUAGACAUUCGUGUCAUCCACAAACCAUAUGAUUUGAUUGCUGAAUAUCUCUCCAUAGUUCUGUGA